This 425-nucleotide transfer RNA is filed under the name Acer pictum subsp. mono. Its description in RNAcentral is "partial transfer RNA-Leu". The stretch from base 383 to 425 matches the Rfam family "tRNA", at positions 1 to 42 of the family's 71-position model. Lineage: Eukaryota; Viridiplantae; Streptophyta; Magnoliopsida; Sapindales; Sapindaceae. The record is from RNAcentral.
AAAAUCCGUCGACUUUAGAAAUCGUGAGGGUUCAAGUCCCUCUAUCCCCCCAAAAAGACCGAUUUGACUAUUUCUCCUACCCUCUCUUUUUUUUAGUGAUUCAAAAUUCGUUCUCUUUCUCAUUCAUUCUACCUUUUUACAAACGUAUCAGAGCAGAAUUUUUUUUUUAUCACAAUCACAAGUGGUGUGGUAUAUAUGAUAUACGUACAAAUGAACAUCUUUGAACAAAGAAUCCCGAUUCACAAUUCAUAUCAUUGCUCAUACUGAAACUUAUAAAUUAUUCUAUUCAAGAAAUCGAAUUCCACGCUCAAGACUUUUAAUACUUUUUUAAUUGACAUAGACCCCAGUCAUCUAGUAAAAUGAGGAUGAUGCGCCGGUAAUGGUCGGGAUAGCUCAGCUGGUAGAGCAGAGGACUGAAAAUCCUC